GGAUGCUAUGAAUUAGAGGAUGGGUUGGGCUCAAUAUUUCGGAUACGGUGAGGGAUCCAAUCAGGAAUCUAGUUCGUGCAAAUGGUGGGUCUGACUUAACUAAGGAUUGGAGCAAGUUUUGGGUGAGCUUCAUGAAUUAGAGAUCAAGUUUUGGGUGCACCAUGAUUAGAGAAUCAUUGGACAAGAGUUGUCCACUCAUCGAUUGACCCAUCAUCAAUAACUGUUAGGUGAGGUGGUGAGCCAGUCGGUGAGA
RNAcentral lists this long non-coding RNA (253 nucleotides) under Elaeis guineensis (African oil palm). RNAcentral describes it as "long non-coding RNA (EGUI_LNC047398)". The record is from RNAcentral. Lineage: Eukaryota; Viridiplantae; Streptophyta; Magnoliopsida; Arecales; Arecaceae.